Pseudopipra pipra is the source of this 10813-nucleotide long non-coding RNA. RefSeq lists it as uncharacterized. Lineage: Eukaryota; Metazoa; Chordata; Aves; Passeriformes; Pipridae. The transcript is spliced from 5 exons. The record is from RefSeq and is a predicted model, not a curated record.
CAUGCAGGUACAUGAACGUUAAUUUGAGCAAAAAGAAGGGGAAAACUGCUUCUUUUCAGGAGCAGCUCCAAAUUAUGUCCCAAAGAAUGAUGAUGGAAAUCAGAUUUCUGUAAGAAAAAAAGACUCGGGUCUCCAAAACUCUUCCAGUCACUGACUCUAUGCAAGACUGCACCCCAAAUUCCUCAGGUGAAAUUAUUUUGAAAUGUGCCAUUCAACAGUAGAUGCUAGUAUAAUAAACAAGAAUGCAAGAAAAAUCUUACAGCUUUAUGCCGUACUCUCUGUUGUAAGUGCCUGAGCAACUUUUAGUCUUCGGAGUUUUCCAUCUGACUGUGACACUCAUGGAUUGGGAAGAGCUGCUGUGUUUGUUCAAAAGCUCUAGCUAUCAUACAGACUUCCUGACUGAAGAACAAAAGUAAGGGGCCAGUGCCAGCUUUAUUUCAACUGCGUGUAAUCAGCUUGAAGUUACUUUCCAAUGUGCACUGGGAAGUUCAGCAGAACAGGAAAUUGAAAUGAGCUUUCCCACCUUAAAUAUUGAUGAAUGUUUUUUCUUUCCCAGGAUUAUACUUCUCCCAGAUUUGAACCUUAAAUACCACGUGAGGAUUUUUAGUUUUCUCCAAAUGCACUGAGAUCUAAAGAAAAAGUGAGCAGAGACUCUUUGCUGUUAGUAGUAGUGAGAAUUACAUCAUCCUUUUAGAGUAGAUCUUCCUUCAUGGGACAAAUAUAAGGCAAGCGGCAGAGGACAAUCCAACACGUGCACUGGCUGUGACAGGAGAGCUCAGAUGAAUAGAACUGGCUAAUAGCUCUUGUUCUGAGUGAGAGGAAGGGGAGAUCUGCUUUCGUAAAAGCAAUAGUUUCCUUCCUGUUUUCUGUUUUAUAUCUCUAAGGAGACCACAUAUCACAAUAGGCUAAAAGUGACUUUACAGCAAAAUGAAACUUUUGCUUGGGUAGAUAAGACAGAAUGCAGAAAAUGCAAAUAUAUUUUAAAAUGUUUCAUAAAUAUAAUCACAUUUGCGUUACUUGUACAAAAACAAUGUAUUUUAUCUUUCAGCUGUUCACUUAAAUAUUCCUUGGACUCUGAAGACAUUUUUCAUGUAAAGCAACACAGAUUCAUGAUGUAUCAUGUUUCAAGUGUCCAGUUUGGGGGAAGUAGAGCUUGUUUCUUACAGGGAUAGAAAUAUACUUAAUUUCUAAAAAGCAGCAUUACAACAUGGAACUACAUUGAGAUUUAUUUUGUUUGAAUAUAUUUUGAAGUUCAAAACAAGAUCCCCUUCUAUUACUACAAUGAGAUUGAUAUUUAGAGAAAGUUUUACAAAUAUAGGGCCAUUUAUGGUCAACCCUUUUUCCAGGAAUACAAAGAAAGGUGAGACACUAGACUUCUGCCAUUUUGUGUUGCCCACAAAAUUGCCAAGUGCCACUCGCAGUCUGGAAAUAUGAGGAAUCAUUUGUCAAUGGUUGUCUUUCCUUCUGCAAAAGCCUCAUCUCCCCUUGUCACUAGCUAAUACCAGCCAUCCUUAAUAAUGUUCGAUGCGCACAAAUUUAUCAAUGACCAAUGGAUUUGCCUAAACCUCAGGGUCCCAGUCGAAUUCCGAGAGGACAUGCUUCUGCAUAUCUUUUUGUCCCACCAUAAUGCAGCCUAUAGGCAGAUGAUGCAAUUGAACAGUGGUAUUUCUAUGUUUAAAAUAUUUAAUUAAUUAGUUAAAUUCUGCUUUUGGGGAUUCAGCAACAUGAAAGAUCAGUAAAAACAAGCAGAAAGUUAAAUGGAGUAUAGUAUGACAAACAAAGGAAUUAAUGAGAGAUGAACUUUUCAGAUAAACUGGUUCAAAAUAUACUGUUUUUCGUGAACAAGCACAAGUCACUUUAGAACAACAAGUACAAUGUAGACCUUCAGACUGCCUGAAAAGUGCUGAAAUUUGCAGGUCUGGCAGUGACAGGUUUUGAGCAGAAAAAAAUCAUGGGGUUUUUAUUCCUACUAGGAGGGCAUUUAAAUUUUUACUUUAAAAAAAUGGAUGCUUUUCUAAAUUCCUGAUAAAAAAAAUUCCAGCCUUUGGGCUCGUUUCAGUGCUACUUAAAAGAAUGACCAGAAUUCAGUUAGCAGUCUGUUCAAUAACUUCUCCUAGUCAGGAAAGCUUUCGUUGCUGAUCCAAGAUUACCUUAUCUUGGGUGGCAAAAAGUCUGUAUUUUAAAAAUUAUUCUGCCUCCCAGGACUUCAAAGAGUUUCCUCCUGUCUGUGACUAAUGUUAGCUAAAACAACACACAAAGGUAUUCUUCUAUCACUUACAACAAAUAAUCAGAAGACAGCUCUAAUAUGAAAUGUCUUACCUAGCUUCAACAAGAACAAGAAAAAAUCACAUCGCUCCAUACUUGAGUCAACUAUAGCUACAAAUAUAGCUACUUCUAUAAAGUCUAGGUAGCAAAAUUUAGGAGGAAGACUGUUGUUCUAUGUCCUAUGGUUUUUAGAAAAAUAUAUAAACCAUAUAAUUGCUUAGAAGCGUAACGGUACUCUAUAGCAGUUCACACAUAUUUUGCAAAAGCUGGGAGUUAUUAUAAAUAUAUCUAGGUUAAUUAACUGCCAUUAUAGUGGUUUUAUGCAUUUAAAAGGAGAAGUAGCUUUUUGGCACACUGCAAAUGACAUAUUAUUCAGGAUGACAAAUCAUAGUAAAGUCAAUGGCAUAAGCUGCUGGAUUUUAGUGCCUGCUCCAUGUAUUGCUGUUUCCUAAAUUGCUCCUUACUGCUCCAAGAGAUAGAGAGAUCAGGGAACUCCCAAGCUGGGAGGAUGAGAACCACCCCAGCUCCUGAGCAGCUGGUUAGACACAUUCUCAGCCAACUCUGCUGGAGGAGGUUGAAGUACCCAAUGAUUGCUACUGGCACAAACCUAAGCUGGCAGUAUGAACCCUUCCUUCACUCUUCCAUGCUUUAGUGCAAGAGAUCUUUAUGUGAAUGAAAGUUCUCCAUCUCAUCUCUACUCACUUCCAUAUGUGCAAAUGCCCAAUACAGCCCUGGGCCAUAGAAAAAGCUUCAGUCUUUGGUCACUCUCAGUCCAGCCCCAUUCUAUUGCUUUGAGAAUGCCCUAGGCUAAAAUAAAUAAAUAACCAGAUAAAUGGAUGACAGCUGGUAUUAACAGUCCUGAUUUGCUUUCCUCUCCUUUCGAGUAAUGAAUCACUAGUGAAAGAGUGAGGGAGGGAAUCCAAAGGGAAUCCAAAACAUGCUUUCUCUUUCAUAUCUGAGUCUGCAGUAGCCAUCCAUGCUCCAAAAGGGGAGAAAACUGGGCUGCAUUUUAAUAUUCAUUUUCACAAAGCUGAGUCAGAACUGCCUGUAAGCGCAAAGGGAUUUUUAAGGAAAAACAGGACUCCCCUCACAUCUCACUAGUGUAGUGAGAAUGUAUAAAUAGUUGCACAAGGCAGAUAGUUUGUGUCAACACGGUAUUACAUUUGUGAGCAUCUGGGUAGCAACUGCUGGACACAAGAGAGCAUUUGCUAGCAAAAUAUUAUGCUAUUGCCUACAAAGUGGUGUGUUACCCAAAACCUCUGCAAGGUGCUGUUCAAAUCUGCCACACAGAAAGGGGUGCCCAGGGUAAGAGUUUAUUAAACAUCACCAAGAUUAUUUGAGAAGAGAGAACUUUUUAUGUUCUAAUUGUGGUACCUGGCUUUAUGCUCUGAGCUUUUCUGAUGGUCUCUACUGUCUAAGAACCUGGACAGGUCCUCACCUUGGCCUGGCCAGUCCCUGGCAUGGGUGGACAAAACUGCAUGCCAAAUUUUGGGAACACAGCGACAGACCUCUCUUCCCUGAUUAAAUUUCCCUCUUUCCUCCACACAAUUUUCUCACUGUGCCAUCUGACUUCAGAUGCUUGAUCUGGUGCACUGCAAGUCCCUUUUUUCCUGGAAGCCCUGAGAAAUGCUGUGGGUGCAUGAGGACAGAUUCUUCCCGGGGGAGUGCAUCUGAUGAAGGAAGCUUUUAGCUAACCUAAAAUUGCCAGUGUAUCAAAAAGCAGGCAUGAGCAUGGCCAGAAGUCACAAACACACUUGGGAGCUGGGGCAAGAUUCUCCCCAGUGCUGGCUCUCCCUAAAAGCCCGAAUUUGUUGACAUAAACACCAGAGAAGGGGAACACUGAUCUGAGAUGCAAGACACUGGAGAGACACGAAGGAAGAAAGUCUAUUUUUAAUCUAAUUUGCCAAGUCACAUAUCUCCAACUUUCAACUCCACACAUCUCACAGAAUUCCCACUCCUCUCUUUUGUUUCCCAUUUACCACAGGUAACAGUUCACCAGGAACCUCAUAUCAUGAUAUUUUUGACUGUGUGUUUUUUUGAAUUAUGUAUUUAACCAGCAGGAUUACUUCCACAAAAAAUUGUAGAUGGCUGUUACAAUUCCCAACCACAGUUUGUCUUCAAGGAAAAAAAUUGUAGCUGAAUGGAGUCUUAUUUAAUUUUUGAAAUUUUAAAAGACUACAGAGGCCUCUGCAUAACGACCUUUCUACUGCUGUGAACCUAAAGCCUAGGUUAUUAUUAAAAUAAGUAGCUAACUAGGACAUCAGUCUACCAAAACCCACCAACAAGUUGCUUUCAAGAAACUAAAGAAAACAGGUGAAAUAGUCUUUGGCAGACUUGUAGCUUUUACAUAUUUUCACUGGAGUAGUCUGGAUUGCAGUGAACAUAUUUCUUCCCUGGUUUUAUGUCACUCAAUCCAGUCUCUCAUGAGUACAUUUAGGAAAUGAUAGAUAUUAAAUAAUUCCUUUCUGCACAGUGGCAGGUCUAUCUUUAAUUCACGUAUAAACACAACAUUUCCUCAAAAUCAUUCUUAUCCUGCAUUAAAAAAAAAAAAAAAAAAAAAAAAGAUCAAAUGGAUCAAGCUAUACAAAGAGACCAUAAAAAAUUUUAUUUAAAUACAUGUCUCUUACCUAAGUGUCUUUUUUCUUUAGAGUGAUUUUCUUCUCAGCUUCCUGCAUUUUCUACCACCCUGUUACAUUUUAAGAAAGAAAUUACAGGCUUCAAGCUUCUCCUCUGUUACACCAUAAAAACUUUGGAAAAAUUACUAUUUCAAAGUUAUUUCUUUUAAUUUUGUGUACAUUAUUUUAAAUGUAAAAUGAGUCUUUGGUGCUCCAUCACUUAAACUGAAAAGAUAUUUUGGCAAUGAAGAAUUUUGUACUUCACUAAUACACCAGCAGUGUUGAGAACAUGUCUCAAAAAGUGUGAACAGUACUUAUAAAGCUGUGUAACUCUCCUCAAAUGACACAACAGCAUUUUAUGUGGCUGAAAAUGAAAGAGUAUGUAUGAGGUUGAUCCUGAAUACUAUUCCAACACCAUAUUUAAACAAACUCUGCUUGUUUGCAAUUUCCAUUACUUUAUGUGUUUUUUUAGUUCAGUUCUGUCAUAAAUGCACUUUGUAAAACAUUCAUCUUAAUUGUAUGCAACCAACUGAAUGUUGUUGUAUCUUUCCUCAAGUUUUUAUGUAUCUCUGCAUUCCAGUCAACUGGCAACCCAAGUUGUAGUGUAAAACCCCCAACCAACGCUCUUGACUUCCACAGGGUCCGUAAUUCUUUCCAAGGCUUUUCACUUCAGAGACUCGUUUGAAGAAUACUGAAGACCAUUUUUAUACUUCACUCACAUGCAGAAAGAAGAAAUCUUUUUCUGAGCAAGUAAGGAAGCCUCUAAAACAAAUCAAAGAUGUGGACACUGAGCACAGAAGACUAAUUAACUUAAGGCAAGUAACCCAGGAAAAUGAAUGCUGAAUUCGGGGUAGUUCAAAGACUUCAAGGAUAAUAGUUUAAAAUGAAACAUUUAUGGCCUUGAAUAGUUAAGACCUUGUGAAUUACUGUAUUUUAUUCAGAAGGCAUGAAACAUUAAAGGUGAGAGGAAUAGAAAUAAGUCUGUAUGUACAAAGUGAUGGGAAGGAGAAAGGAAGAGCUCUCAUGGAAGAUUCCUCAAGAUCCUCAAAGUCUGCUCAGGAGAUAGUGACCACUACUACUGCACUAUGAACAGGGGCAUGGAUGCAGGGAGGUUGUCGAAGGAACAUGUGCAGGGGUUCCAGGCAUGCUGGAUUCCCCCUUAGGUGGUGUGUCUGGUGGAUGCUGCACCUGUGGCAGGGUCUUCAUGUCCCAUGUUUGUAAGUAGCUUCUUUAUAGUGUUGCUAAAUUCAGUGUUCACUACUCAGAAACGGAGAAGAAGGUUCUGAAUCACUGAUGUAAAGUGGCACUGUAAAGGAAAUGUGAUCCUAGAACAAACCAGGAAGAUUUUUGCUGGAUAAAUAAAGCUUUAGUACCUCAGUAUAAGAUGCUUACGUGACCCUGUCAGAAAUAAUAAUGAUCAGCUUUUAAAUGGGUGUUUCAGAAGGACAAACUGAAACGUGGAACAUCUGUCCAAAAGGGCCAUUGAAAUGACAGGGCUACUUGUAUUGCAGAAGGAAGUCCAGAGUUUUCAAAGAGAGACAGGAAACUCUGAUAAGGUGUCACUAGAAAACACCAAAGCAAAAAAGAGAUGUUGCUGCUGAAGGACAAAAGGGGUGGGUAUCCACAGGUUUUUAGUAGAUGUACCCACGAAAGUAGAGGUUUUCUAGCAAAGUGGAACAGCUGCAAUGGAAGACUGUAAGAGGGACAAACAGAAUAGUUGUUAAGAAAAAGGGAGUAAAACAGCAGUUUUAACAUCCCUUUCCUCAGUGUUUGCUGGUUUGGGCUAUAUUUCUCAUUCUUUGAUUAAACUUUGAAAAUAUUGGAAACCCGUCUUUUAUCAUCUUCAACUAUAUUGUCUACUGAAAGAGAGUGUUGACUCGGAAAGCUAUAGGCAGGAGCAGAGUGAGGUGUUUUAUUUCUAUACAUCUUGAAGAUUUCGGCACUAUGUCUUGGUGGUAGAAGAAAAAUAAAACCUAAUUAGUGAUAGCAAUAAUGUUAUAAUAAAUAUGGUACAAAACUGAGAAGCAUACUUUAACAUAAGAACCUACAAACACUUUUGAUGAAUGUUAGUCUGGCAACAACAGUAACAUCUAUUGCACAGGUAUUUAAAUACCACCACUGUCAGGUUUUUGGAAAGAGCUGUCUUCACAGAAAAUUGUAUUUUAUUAGAAUAAAUAAUGUAUAUUGAUUCCAUUUGAAACAUACAUAUGAAAUCUGCCUUUUUUUUUCCAGGCAACCUCACUAAGUCAGCUCAUUAUGGUUAAGGAAAAGAGAUAAUAUUAAAAUAUGUUGGGUUUUGAAAGUGGGAUCCAGAGCCACGUGUUCAGCAUCUGGAUGGGAAGAGAAGCAUGUCCAAGCCUGUCAUGCUCAGGAGCCAUGGGCAAAAGGAGAGGUGCCUGAACAGGUUGAGGAAAAGAGGCUCUUGCUGAGUCUUCAGUCUUAAACGACAGGGUGGGAUUUUGUGAGAAAUCAGGCAGCUGGAAGCCAAAUGUUUAAUAGAAUAGGUAAAAUGUAUUCCAGCCCUGAAGCAAUCUCUUGCACUGUUGAGGAGGGUAAUGAAGAAGAAUGAAAUGGGGGUAGAAAGCAGUCAACUAAUAAAAAGGCUCCUUUCAGGAACUGGAAGGCCACAAUUAGGUAACCCCGAAGCCUUCUCUUCUCCAGGGUGAACAAUCCCAAUUCUCUCAGCCUUUCCUAAUAGAGGAGAUGCUCUAUACCUCUAAUCAUCUUGGUGGCCCACCUCUGGAAUCGCUCCAACAGAUCAAUGUACUUCCUAUUCUGGGCACCUCAGAGCUGGAUUCGAGGGAGAGUCUCAGGAGAGCGGAGAAGAGGAGCAGAAUGAUAUUCUCGACCUGCUGGCCACGCUGCAUUUGACACAGCCCAGAACAUGGUUGUCUUUCAGGUUGCAAGUGCACGUUGCUGGGUCAUGUCCAGCCUCUCUUUUGUUAUGCAGCUGCAAAUGUUAAAAACAUGCUAAGUGAAAUACAUAUUUUGUCUGGGCAUCCUUAAAAAAAAGAAAAAAAUAGAAUAUAUAAAGCCAUUGUAGGAAAUGUUUUGCCUCUAUUUUAAGGUUUUCAGAAGGUGGUGCAGUGUCAUGGCUCCAGUGCUACUCUUUUGAAACAUCAAAUUAUUCUUAUAUGAAGGAGCCUGCCUCUUUGAAACUGGAGAUUUCUAACUUCAGCUUACAUGUCCUGGAUUUUGAUGGAGGUAGGAGUGGAGAAGAAGGGAAUAUUUUCUGUCUUGGUUACCCCUUAGAGGAGAUUGGGAUAACAUUCUCAGCAGUUGCAUGUUUUACCUUCUUCUUGGUUAGAUCACAGGUAUUACUGAGUGUUGGGUUUGGGAGGGAGGGAGGUGUUUGUUUUUUUGACUAAGUUUUUUAUUAUUACCCAGAUAUAUUAUUGGAACGUUCUCAUGGGUUUGUGGGUGAAGCAAUGUAGUUUGGAGUAAAAAACUAUAUGCUUACUGAGUCCCUUUUAAAGUCUGAGUGUAUGCUGUCAAAAUGUGCAGAUUUGAAAAUGUUUAAUUUUAGUUGAUAAACGUUUCACAGCUCCCUUUGCUAAAAUUGGCAACCUACCUACCACAUCAUAUAUGAUGGAACUAUUACCCAGGGCUGGGUCUUGAACCACUUGCCUCUGCAUUAUUGUUUAUAAUCAACAUUUAAUAAUAGCUAUGUGUCUAAAUGAAGCUUUUUUAUUCCUCAGAUAAGAGGAUCUUUUCAUGAUUUUUAACAAAAGUAACCAAGGAUAUUUGAUUAUUCCCUUAAACAACUUCAUCAGCCAUCUCUAUGACUAACACUUACUAUAUGUUCUAUUGUGUUUAUCAUUUGCUUUCCGUUAUUAAUGCAAUAUUGGAGUUAGUUCUCCUUUAAGUCGAAUAGAUUGUUACCCAGUGUAACUUCCCAUUCCCCAGCUCUUUCUAAGAGUUUAAAAGUGUCUCAGUGUGGUGUUUCAUCACAGAUGUGCUCACAGCUCUUUGGACUGCUUUGGACUAGUCUUUACAAGGAAGCUGCAUGCAGUUUCCUAAGUGAGGUUUUUCCCAUUUUUCCCAGAGAAACAAAAAAAAAAAAAAACAAAUCCACACACGCCACCCCAAAAGUACUGAUGUCACCUGGCAUGAAGCAGAAGUGGCCUCUUCCAGCAUUAGGCAGCCAGAGACCUCUUGGGUGUUUCAUUUCACUUCAACACCAAUAAGAGGCAGGUCAUCAACAGCAAAGAUCACAAUGCGUGUUUCAUCUAAAACUCAUUAAUAAAGCACAGUUCCUCUGAUACUCUGCUGUUAUCAUCAUCAUCAUCAUCAUCAUCAUGGCUGGGCUUUGCGAACGAAGAUUUGGGGAGGGCUCUACCCACGUUCGUCACAAGCGCGCUGGUGGCUAAAAAGGCCAAUACGAGACAGGCAUGUCUGGUUGCAAAAGGCACAGCAGAAAGACUCCUUAGAUGGUAUAUUCUGCAAGGCACGAUUCUUUCUGCAUUGUCUUUUCUCCUCAAGAGUGAUCCUGCGUGCUUUCUCAAAAGCGUCAGCAGCAUUAUAGAUGGUGUGUCUCCAAACCUCCCGAUUGGAGGCCAGAGUAGACCAGUUAUGUUGAUCAAUAUGGCCAAGGCUGAGAUGUUGUUUCAGGGAGUCUUUGUAUCUUCUCUUCAGGGCUCCUCUCAUGUGGCAGCCGGUGGCAAGUUCACCAUAGAGCACAAUCUUAGGGAGGCAGUGAUCCUUCAUCCUGGAGACGUGCCCUGCCCAACGCAGCUGUGUUCUCAGCAACAUGGCCUCAAUACUUGUGACUGCUGCUUGUUCUAGACUCUGCUGUUAUAUGGAUUACUAAAACACACAUGAAGACAAUAUGGCAGUAGGAGACAAAGGAAAGGAUUCAUAUAUAUAAUCAGAAAGGAUAUCAAGAACAUUUCUCUUAACUUGCUCUCAGACUUCCGAAGCACUUAAUGGCUCCUGUCUGACAGACACUAACUUAGAAAUUACUGGCACAUAUCUGACACUUACGUAUAACAGGAUGAUAUUCUACCAAGGCAACUCUGUCAGCACAAAUAGCCGUAGCGGAAGAAAAAGCCUUCACAUUAACUUUACUAGUGGAUUAUUUGGCUAUUUAAAAUUGCCAUAUUCCAUCUUAGUAUGUUACCUUACUUAUGUAUUCUAACAUCAGCAAUGAAAAGAAGUAUUACCAUGUAGAAAAACAUCUCAGUUUAAGGUGUGUAAGGAAGUACUUAAUUUUGUGACCUGUGUGCUGCAAAGCAUGUGAAAAGGAAGUGAGUUGUUUGGAGCUGCUGCAUGGUUAAAAUAGCACCAGGAACUGCAAGUGCAUGUAUCAAAUGUGUCUGGGGCUAAUGGUUAUAAUUCCCUUAGAGCCCCAGUACUUUUGUAUCUUUCUAGCAUUGCCUUUCCACAACAGGUGUCUCUUUUUGAAGAGGUGCUUACCCGGCAUGUAACGCUGUCGGUCUUAUCACUAAGACUUGGUGUGUGGAGAAGGUAAAAAACUUUCAAACUUUAAGCUGAAUAGAAAGCAACUUAGAGAGCCCUGUAAAAAUUGUGCAUUUUAUGAACAAUGAAAUCCAGUGGAAAAGUCACUCAGUUCCUAAGUCACAUUUAAUAGUUCUGUUAAAUUAUGUCAGUGUGACAUAAUGACAAUUCAGGAAAUAUUUCAGAGCCUUUACAUCACAAAAAAAUGAAAUCAGAAAACUAUAAAUAUAUCCAUUUUUAUGAUGAUGAACAUAAUUGUACAACCCUGCACAUUAAUAGCUUCUCCAGUAUCAGUGGACUGUGAACAUCUGCUUAAUAAUCUUAAAAUAAUUCAAAUAGCCUCUCUGAGACACACCAUCCUCUUACUGUUGUGCAUUUUGUUUUGCUGCAGGAGUCAUGUGCCCACACAGAUACACACAGGAAGAUAAAAUUGUCAGGAAUAGGAUAAAUAAAUCAGACUUUCCUGCUUAAAUAAA